CGGAAUCUGCCUAUUUGUGGGGGAUAACGUAGGGAAACUUACGCUAAUACCGCAUACGACCCACGGGUGAAAGCGGAGGACCUUCGGGCUUCGCGCAGAUAGAUGAGCCGAUGUCGGAUUAGCUAGUUGGCGGGGUAAAGGCCCACCAAGGCGACGAUCCGUAGCUGGUCUGAGAGGAUGAUCAGCCACACUGGAACUGAGACACGGUCCAGACUCCUACGGGAGGCAGCAGUGGGGAAUAUUGGACAAUGGGCGCAAGCCUGAUCCAGCCAUGCCGCGUGGGUGAAGAAGGCCUUCGGGUUGUAAAGCCCUUUUGUUGGGAAAGAAAAGCAGUCGGUUAAUACCCGAUUGUUCUGACGGUACCCAAAGAAUAAGCACCGGCUAACUUCGUGCCAGCAGCCGCGGUAAUACGAAGGGUGCAAGCGUUACUCGGAAUUACUGGGCGUAAAGCGUGCGUAGGUGGUUUGUUAAGUCUGAUGUGAAAGCCCUGGGCUCAACCUGGGAAUUGCAUUGGAUACUGGCAGGCUAGAGUGCGGUAGAGGGUAGUGGAAUUCCCGGU
Molecule: ribosomal RNA, 559 nt
Filed under: uncultured bacterium
Lineage: Bacteria
Description: bacterial SSU rRNA
Rfam family: Bacterial small subunit ribosomal RNA
Source: RNAcentral